AUUGAACGCUGGCGGCAGGCUUAACACAUGCAAGUCGAGCGGGGUGAUGGUGCUUGCACUAUCACUUAGCGGCGGACGGGUGAGUAAUGCUUAGGAAUCUGCCUAUUAGUGGGGGACAACAUCUCGAAAGGGAUGCUAAUACCGCAUACGUCCUACGGGAGAAAGCAGGGGAUCACUUGUGACCUUGCGCUAAUAGAGGAGCCUAAGUCGGAUUAGCUAGUUGGUGGGGUAAAGGCCUACCAAGGCGACGAUCUGUAGCGGGUCUGAGAGGAUGAUCCGCCACACUGGGACUGCGACACGUCCCAGACUCCUACGGGAGGCAGCAGUGGGGAAUAUUGGACAAUGGGGGGAACCCUGAUCCAGCCAUGCCGCGUGUGUGAAGAAGGCCUUAUGGUUGUAAAGCACUUUAAGCGAGGAGGAGGCUCUUUUGGUUAAUACCCAAGAUGAGUGGACGUUACUCGCAGAAUAAGCACCGGCUAACUCUGUGCCAGCCGCCGCUGUAA
RNAcentral lists this ribosomal RNA (503 nucleotides) under uncultured bacterium. RNAcentral describes it as "partial 16S ribosomal RNA". It matches the Rfam family "Bacterial small subunit ribosomal RNA", at positions 30 to 523 of the family's 1533-position model. The record is from RNAcentral.